GAAAUGCGAUAAGUAAUGUGAAUUGCAGAAUUCAGUGAAUCAUCGAAUCUUUGAACGCACAUUGCGCCCCUUGGUAUUCCGAGGGGCAUGCCUGUUCGAGCGUCAUUAUAACCACUCAAGCCUCGGCUUGGUCUUGGGGUUCGCGGUUCCGCGGCCCUUAAAAUCAGUGGCGGUGCCGUCUGGCUCUAAGCGUAGUAAUUCUCUCGCUAUAGGGUCCCGGCGGCUACCUGUCAAAACCCCCCCCAUUUUUUAUGGUUGACCUCGGAUCAGGUAGGGAUACCCGCUGAACUUAA
RNAcentral lists this unclassified non-coding RNA (293 nucleotides) under uncultured Helotiales. Its description in RNAcentral is "sequence contains ITS1". The stretch from base 1 to 105 matches the Rfam family "5.8S ribosomal RNA", at positions 50 to 154 of the family's 154-position model. Lineage: Eukaryota; Fungi; Ascomycota; Leotiomycetes; Helotiales. The record is from RNAcentral.